Molecule: non-coding RNA, 26 nt
Filed under: Bombyx mori (domestic silkworm)
Lineage: Eukaryota; Metazoa; Arthropoda; Insecta; Lepidoptera; Bombycidae
Source: RNAcentral
UAUCUAAUGUGUGCGUAGCGAUGGUC